UGGGGAAUCUUGCACAAUGGAGGAAACUCUGAUGCAGCGACGCCGCGUGAGCGAUGAAGCCCUUCGGGGUGUAAAGCUCUUUCGUCAGGGAAGAUAGUGACGGUACCUGGAGAAGCAGCUGCGGCUAACUACGUGCCAGCAGCCGCGGUAAUACGUAGGCAGCAAGCGUUGUUCGGAGUUACUGGGCGUAAAGGGUGUGUAGGCGGCCUUCUAAGUUUGGUGUGAAAUCUCCCGGCUCAACCGGGAGGGUGCGCCGAAGACUGGGGGGCUAGAGGAUGGGAUGGGAAAGUGGAAUUCCUGGUGUAGCGGUGAAAUGCGUAGAUAUCAGGAGGAACACCUGCGGUGUAGACGGCUUUCUGGACCAACCCUGACGCUGAGACACGAAAGCGUGGGUAGCAAACAG
This 403-nucleotide ribosomal RNA is filed under the name uncultured bacterium. RNAcentral describes it as "bacterial SSU rRNA". It matches the Rfam family "Bacterial small subunit ribosomal RNA", at positions 355 to 775 of the family's 1533-position model. The record is from RNAcentral.